CUUCUUUUGUCUUCUAGCCUGGUGAGAACACACAUCAUAUACAGCCUGUCUUUACAAACUGCUGGCUCUUUUCAUGAAUAUUCAGUGGUUUUGCCCACACUUUGUCUCAGUCUCUCCCCUCCCCCUCCCCCCACUACCAUCUUAGAUGCAGUGACUUUGAGCUACCACUUAAAAAAAAAAAAGUAAAGUCCAUCAAGGCGCCUUCCAGUGAAGCCGGAUGUCGUAGGGGGGUGGUGGUGGAAACUAGGAGUCCUACUGUGUACCAGACUCAAACUAAAAGGUUGUAAUGACCUUAUCUCGGCAAAAGAUUUUUAUCUUCACGGUUUAUUUAAUCACUGGUCCCCUCGAAUUAGGAGCUAAGCCUCUGAUGGGCGACUGUCGAUCCUUAUCAAAACUACUAAGACAUAUUUCAACCAUGGAGGAAAAUGGUGUGGCAUCUGGAGAUGGGGGGCCCUCAGGGUCUUGCAUGGCAAGAAACUGCAGACUGGAAACACUGCUCCUCGUAUCUUAAGUAAAGGCUUUGCGAUGAUUGAUUAUUUUUCCUCUGAUAAAUACCUGGUUUUCAAAAGCAGUCUAAUUAGUAGGGAUCUCCAUUUUCCAAGUAUUCGAAAUGCAUUUGGCUGUCCUGUCAUUAAACCCAGACCCGAGAGACCAGCCUAGAUGUCUGAGCCCUUCCCACGUUCGAGGCAGAGACACUCCUGCUCACCGAAUAUCCUCGAGUAACCCUGUAUUUCCCGCCCCGCUGCCAUUUGCCAGGGCCAGCCGACUGGUUCUGAGCAAUGGGCAGGGAGCACAAGGGACUUGUACAUGAUCCUGCAGAAACCCUAAAGGUCACGCAUGAAAGCCAUCACAAGAUGGAACUGAGUCACCACAAAGAGCACAGCUGCCCUUGACGGUCACCUGAUUCAUCGUGGCCUUUGUAUGAGCGAAAAACAAACUUCUGUGGUGUUAGCCUUCUGAAAUGAAACACUGGGAUUUUUUGUGACUGCAGAAAAGCCCAACUUAACCUAUCAAUACAACAGGACGCUGAAGAGGGCUCCUAUAAUCACCCCAUUUUGGAAGACCCCACUGCAAGCCUCUUAUCUUGAUGUGUUUGUAGUAGAUGGAGAGAAGAUGCUCUCUCCUCGGACCCCAAGGACUCCCCAGUUACGAAAUGCUCCAUCGGCAUUCACACGUGCAGUAAAUAAUCAUUGAGUGCCAACCAUGUGCCAGGGCCCUUAUUGGCACUGGGGAUUGCAUGGUUAGCAAAACGGACUCCAUCUCGUCUUUGCCUACAGCUUUCAGUCCGUCGGAGGAGACUGCUGCUCGACAAAUAAGCAUGCCGAUGAGUGCAGAAUAACUAGCAGAGCAUCUCACAGCUCAGCCACUGGGUUCCAAGAGGCAGUGUCAUGUUUGCAAAUGCAGAAGAACGGCAGAUCUCCUAAGGUCUGGAUUCCAUUGGUCAGAACAGAUCACAAGUCCAGCCCAGGUUCAAGAGGAAGUGACUCCACCUCCUGGUGGCAGGACUAGCAAAGGAUUUGCAGCCACCUUUAAUCCACCAGAAGGGAAAAAACAAAAGGAACCGGAGGAAGCUUUUGGAGGCAAUGGGUAAGUUUAUGGCCCUUACAGUGUUGAUUGUUUCACGGGUAUACACUUAUCUCCAAACACAUCAAGUUGCAUACAUUAAACAGCUACAGCUUUUUGUAUAUAUCUA
Acinonyx jubatus (cheetah) is the source of this 1693-nucleotide long non-coding RNA. RefSeq lists it as uncharacterized. The transcript is spliced from 3 exons. The record is from RefSeq and is a predicted model, not a curated record. NCBI's taxonomy places the organism in Eukaryota, Metazoa, Chordata, Mammalia, Carnivora, Felidae.